This 412-nucleotide ribosomal RNA is filed under the name Bacillus subtilis. RNAcentral describes it as "bacterial SSU rRNA". It matches the Rfam family "Bacterial small subunit ribosomal RNA", at positions 509 to 916 of the family's 1533-position model. Lineage: Bacteria; Bacillati; Bacillota; Bacilli; Caryophanales; Bacillaceae. The record is from RNAcentral.
CAGCAGCCGCGGUAAUACGUAGGUGGCAAGCGUUGUCCGGAAUUAUUGGGCGUAAAGGGCUCGCAGGCGGGUUUCUUAAGUCUGAUGUGAAAGCCCCCGGCUCAACCUGGGGAGGGUCAUUGGAAACUGGGGACCUUGAGUGCAGAAGAGGAGAGUGGAAUUCCACGUGUAGCGGUGAAAUGCGUAGAGAUGUGGAGGAACACCAGUGGCGAAGGCGACUCUCUGGUCUGUAACUGACGCUGAGGAGCGAAAGCGUGGGGAGCGAACAGGAUUAGAUACCCUGGUACUCCACGCCGUAAACGAUGAGUGCUAAGUGUUAGGGGGUCUCCGCCCUCUUAGUGCUGCAGCUAACGCAUUAAGCACUCCGCCUGGGGAGUACGGUCGCAAGACUGAAACUCAAAGGAAUUGAGGG